RNAcentral lists this transfer RNA (72 nucleotides) under Ictidomys tridecemlineatus (thirteen-lined ground squirrel). RNAcentral's name for it is "Spermophilus tridecemlineatus (thirteen-lined ground squirrel) tRNA". It matches the Rfam family "tRNA". From Rfam's summary of the family: Transfer RNA (tRNA) molecules are approximately 80 nucleotides in length. Their secondary structure includes four short double-helical elements and three loops (D, anti-codon, and T loops). The record is from Rfam by way of RNAcentral. Lineage: Eukaryota; Metazoa; Chordata; Mammalia; Rodentia; Sciuridae.
GGGGGUGUAGCUUUGUGGUAGAGUGCUUGCCUAGCAUGUUCAAGGCCCUGGGUUCAAUCCCCAGCAUCUCAC